GUUUUAGUAAUUUAAUAAAAAUAUUGGUCUUGUAAAUCAAAAAUAAGCAACGCUUCUAAAACU
RNAcentral lists this transfer RNA (63 nucleotides) under Calcaritermes cf. nigriceps. RNAcentral describes it as "tRNA-Thr". Lineage: Eukaryota; Metazoa; Arthropoda; Insecta; Blattodea; Kalotermitidae. The record is from RNAcentral.